GUGAGGGUCUGACCUGUAGAAAUGAGCACUGCAGCCGAAAAAAGGGCAAUCUCCUCUUCCGUUAACUGCAGUGAACACAGACUCUUGGCAAAGUCAAACACCGCACUGACCAGGUCGUCACAGCCUGCAGGAGUGUAGGACGUUUUGGAAGUCCAUGGAUGGCUGAAACGAAUGCACUGAAGAAAAGGCAUAUCUUUCACUGACCUUACAGCCUUCACAUGUGAUGACUCCAUAGUGGAUGCCUGAUGACUUGUCUCCACAGAUUUUGCAUGACUGUAGAUAAGUGCUCCUCUCAGAUGGCACCUUGACCACCUUGAUUCUAAGCGUGAUGUCACUUUUAAAGUGGACCAGGAUGUGCCUUUUACAAUUUUCACGAGACAUUGUGACAUUUUGUAACCUGUGGUUUUUGGAAGACAAAUAGACAUGAGAGACCAGCUGAGAGAGACAGAAGCACUGUAGAGACACACCUGACUCGAGACUGCAGUGUGAAGCUCAGAGCUUUGGAAAUGUGAGUGCAUCUCUAGUUAAGUGUGUGUGUGUCUGUGUGUGAGUGUGUGUGCUGCUAAUCUGACUGGGAGAAUAUAAGACUGACUAGUGUAUAUAUUAUAUGUUGGCCAGUUUAUAUCUUUUCUUCAUACUGUGAAUAUGUACACAUCUUAUGAAUGAAUAUGUACUUUUGUGCAAUAUUUAUUAAAAAAUAAAAAGUUUAUAUUUGCUGUAAAGGCACAUACACACUGUGAGCAAUGUAAUGGGAUUAACACACACCUAUACGUUAACUAGUCUGCGCUAUAGUAGCUCUUCCUCUCUCAGUCUAGCCCACUCGACUUAAGCCACAGUGUCUGUGGGUUUGGUGGUUAUGGGGGUGGGUGUUUGCCCCCAAUGACCCUCAGCUACGGGAAGCACAAGCAAGGUCGUGUCCAUGACAAUGUCACCUUGAGUUUAUUCCUCUGUAUGAAAAUUGAAGCAGUACUGACAACUGUAGCUAGAUUUUUUACCAGAAAACGAAAUACCAGGAGGAACAUUUUAGUGUUCUGCUGGGAUAGGUUAAUGCUGAUGGGUGCAAAAUAUUAAAAACAAAUGUUAAAAACUUGCAGUAAAUAUAAUUGAAUAAUUUAAUACAUUUUAAUGUAUUUUUUUUUUUUUUGGCAAAUUGAUUUACUUAUAAAUAUAAUCUUUAAUAUGUAUAUUUUUAUUUUACAGUACAAUAGUAAUAUUAUAAAAGUAAGUUAUUUUUAUAAAAAAUAAAAAAAAUUGUUUAAUUAUGCAGCC
Long non-coding RNA from Ctenopharyngodon idella (grass carp), 1269 nucleotides. RefSeq lists it as uncharacterized. The record is from RefSeq and is a predicted model, not a curated record. The transcript has 4 exons. Lineage: Eukaryota; Metazoa; Chordata; Actinopteri; Cypriniformes; Xenocyprididae.